ACCAGCUAAGGUCCCUAAGUCUUACUUAAGUGGAAAACGAUGUGAAGUUACUUAAACAACCAGGAGGUUGGCUUAGAAGCAGCCAUCCUUUAAAGAAAGCGUAAUAGCUCACUGGUCUAGUGAUUUUGCGCGGAAAAUAUAACGGGGCUAAAGUAAGUACCGAAGCUGUAGACUUAGUUUACUAAGUGGUAGGAGAGCGUUCUAUUUGCGUCGAAGGUAUACCGGUAAGGAGUGCUGGAGCGAAUAGAAGUGAGCAUGCAGGCAUGAGUAGCGAUAAUUAAUGUGAGAAUCAUUAACGCCGUAAACCCAAGGUUUCCUACGCGAUGCUCGUCAUCGUAGGGUUAGUCGGGUCCUAAGUCGAGUCCGAAAGGGGUAGACGAUGGCAAAUUGGUUAAUAUUCCAAUACCAACAUUAGUGUGCGAUGGAAGGACGCUUAGGGCUAAGGGGGCUAGCGGAUGGAAGUGCUAGUCUAAGGUCGUAGGAGGUUAUACAGGCAAAUCCGUAUAACAAUACUCCGAGAACUGAAAGGCUUUUUGAAGUCUUCGGAUGGAUAGAAGAACCCCUGAUGCCGUCGAGCCAAGAAAAGUUUCUAAG
Molecule: ribosomal RNA, 594 nt
Filed under: Campylobacter jejuni
Lineage: Bacteria; Pseudomonadati; Campylobacterota; Epsilonproteobacteria; Campylobacterales; Campylobacteraceae
Description: partial 23S ribosomal RNA
Rfam family: Bacterial large subunit ribosomal RNA
Source: RNAcentral